Molecule: ribosomal RNA, 373 nt
Filed under: uncultured bacterium
Lineage: Bacteria
Description: bacterial SSU rRNA
Rfam family: Bacterial small subunit ribosomal RNA
Source: RNAcentral
GACGAACGCUGGCGGCGUGCUUAACACAUGCAAGUCGAGCGGUAAGGCCCUUUCGGGGGUACACGAGCGGCGAACGGGUGAGUAACACGUGGGUGACCUGCCCUCAGCUCUGGGAUAAGCCUGGGAAACCGGGUCUAAUACUGGAUAUGACUCCAUGACGCAUGUUGUGGGGUGGAAAGCCUUGUGCGGCUGAGGAUGGGCCCCGCGGCCUAUCAGCUUGUUGGUGGGGUGANGGGCCUACCAAGGGCGACGACGGGUAGCCGGCCUGAGAGGGCGACCGGCCACACUGGGACUGAGACACGGCCCAGACUCCUAGGGGAGGCAGCAGUGGGGAAUCCUGCGCAAUGGGCGAAAGCCUGACGCAGCGACGCCG